This 239-nucleotide unclassified non-coding RNA is filed under the name uncultured fungus. RNAcentral describes it as "sequence contains ITS1, 5.8S rRNA gene". The stretch from base 191 to 239 matches the Rfam family "5.8S ribosomal RNA", at positions 1 to 49 of the family's 154-position model. Lineage: Eukaryota; Fungi. The record is from RNAcentral.
UUUCCGUAGGUGAACCUGCGGAAGGAUCAUUACCUGAUAGACGCCCUCCGGGGCACUAUCCCACCCGUGUCUACAUACUUUUGUUGCUUUGGCGGGUCGUGGUUCGCCACUGCGGGCUCUGCUCGCACGUGCCCGCCAGAGGACCAAACUCUGAAGUUUAGUGACGUCUGAGAACUAUACAAAUAGUAAAAACUUUCAACAACGGAUCUCUUGGUUCUGGCAUCGAUGAAGAACGCAGC